This 498-nucleotide ribosomal RNA is filed under the name uncultured bacterium. Its description in RNAcentral is "partial 16S ribosomal RNA". It matches the Rfam family "Bacterial small subunit ribosomal RNA", at positions 30 to 523 of the family's 1533-position model. The record is from RNAcentral.
AUUGAACGCUGGCGGCAUGCCUUACACAUGCAAGUCGAACGGUAACAGGUCUUCGGAUGCUGACGAGUGGCGAACGGGUGAGUAAUACAUCGGAACGUGCCUAGUAGUGGGGGAUAACUACUAGAAAGAGUGGCUAAUACCGCAUGAGAUCAACGGAUGAAAGCAGGGGAUCGCAAGACCUUGUGCUACUAGAGCGGCCGAUGGCAGAUUAGGUAGUUGGUGGGAUAAAAGCUUACCAAGCCGACGAUCUGUAGCUGGUCUGAGAGGACGAUCAGCCACACUGGGACUGAGACACGGCCCAGACUCCUACGGGAGGCAGCAGUGGGGAAUUUUGGACAAUGGGCGAAAGCCUGAUCCAGCAAUGCCGCGUGCAGGAUGAAGGCCUUCGGGUUGUAAACUGCUUUUGUACGGAACGAAAAGCCCAGGGUUAAUACCCUGGGGUCAUGACGGUACCGUAAGAAUAAGCACCGGCUAACUACGUGCCAGCAGCCGCGGUAA